UCUUUAUUAUUGCUACAAGCUUCACGCUUGCUAAAAUUACUGCUUCCUUCCCUCUCCUCUUUCUCUCUCUUGCGCAGGAAAUUUCCGGGGGAAUUUAAAGCGACAGAGGGAGGCGAUUCUUCAAUUCAAGCUCUCAAUUACUUCAAUCGACAGAUGGGAAAGAUUGUUUCAGAAAAGAAAACGAUGACUAAGGCGGAGUCGUUGAUGACGCCAGACAUGAUUGCGGGUUUCAUGAAAAUGGUGGGGUUUCCUAAGAUUGCAUUUGCUCAUGUUCCAGGAAAAGGUCGGAAGGUGGAGAAUUGUCCCAAGGGUUUCAUUAUAUUCUUUAGGUAUCCAUUCUUGGAGACAUGGGCUAAAUUUCCCUUCAAGCCUUUGACUAGAUCUUUCUUUGAGGUGCUAGGGUUAAGCCCUAGGCAAUUAAUGCCAUCUGGUUGGAUGAUUUUAUCAGAUUUGGAGGAAGUGACUAAAGAUUGGGAAGAUCCCUUUACUUUGGAGGAUUUAAUUAAAGCUUAUGACAUAAAGAUGAAGAAGGAUUGUUUUGUGAGUUUGCAUAAGAAGGGGGAACAAUUGGUUUUGAACACCGACAGUAAUGACAAGGGUUGGGCUCAGUACUUCGUUUUCAUCAAGAAGACGUCAAUAGGUACUAAUGGAAUGUGGCUGAUGGAAGGGUGGCCAGAAAAGGGUUGCGCAGAUCUUAAUCUCGAUUUUCUCGAGCCGACGGAGAGAUCGUCGUCGAAGAUAAAAGCGGAUUCUCUAAGUAGGGCACUUAAAAAGGACUUUUGAGAGGAUGAGACACACUCUCUGUGAAUCGUCGGGUCAGAAGCAUAAAGAAUUACCAAGAAUCCCUCAGAGAGUCAAGGAUUCCGAGGAAACGAUGUCUACACAGUCUGCAGCGCAGGGUGGUCGUCGAGGACGAAACACAUCCCAGGCUGAGAAGGACGCAAGGAGGAGGAGGAAGUGUGGGUUAGCACCCCAGGAGGCGUCACUGUCGUCGGUAGUGGAUAGGACGGAGCAACUUCAUGUGUCGUUGUCGCCGCAGAAAGUUAGCAGCGCAACUACUCUAGUCCAUGCAUCGUCGUCUCCUCCCCAUAAACAAUAGAAUACGAACGAUGCUCCAGCACCUCAAGACUUGGAGUUCCCGAGAAGGAUUGGCCAGGACUUCCACUUUGGAUAUUGCGUCGGAGGCUGCUUGUGUUCAUCUCUAUGUGAGUUUCUUUCUCUUUGUUGCUUUUUGUUGGUGAUGUAUAUUUAGGUUGUGAUUUGGGACUUGUCUGGUUUGGAUAGUGUUUUCAAAAUUCUUUAGUUUUGAGGGAAAGGGUGAUCGGGUUGGCUAAAGAGAUGAAGAGGUUAUAUGAUAUUGUGAAUAAUAAUGAAGCUAAUAUGAAUACCGCGACGAGACAGUUUAUAACUAUGAAGAAACAGUUUGACGAUGCGGCUAAGAAGGUGAUCGAACUGGAAAGUCGGUUAGAGGAGCAAGCAAAAAAGAUGAGGAGCAAGAAAAAAAGGUGGAUGAGAAAGCCCAACAGCUGAAGGACCAAGCCAAGAAACAGAAGGAACAAGCCCAGCAAUUGGAGGACAAGGUUGUGGUUAUACAAGAUCGAGAUGAAGCUUUGUCAAAGGUGAAGGAAGAGUUGUCGACAGUUAAAAGGACUUGGACGACGCUUUAAAUUGGAGAUCAAGCUUAGGGUUUAGCUGAUGAAGGAGUACCUAGAUGGGAAGGCUACAAAGUGGCGUCUGCAGGAAGAAAUUGAUCAUUUCUUGGCCAACGGAGGGACUAUUGUCGAGCUGGAGAAGAUGCUGUAAUUGUUUCGACUGCGAAGUCGGAACCUCAUACGUCGAAUGUUGUUCCUCCUACCACUAACAAAGCUUCGGCACAACCAACGAUUGGUGAAGGUGUUGGAGACAAUGCCCCUAUCGACAAGAUCAUAAAAUAUGUCGUCGAAAGAGUGAAUGCUAAUGGCGAAGCUAAUGCUUGAAGGCCAUUGCUUGUGAUGGUUUCUUUUGCUAUGUAUUUAUGCUUUUGUUUUGCACUUUGAUACUUUAGUUUUUCACUUGGAUGUUUUUGUCAUGGCUUUUGAAUAUUUUUGUUUGGAUAUUAUUGUCUUUUUUUCCACUUGAUGGCAAGUGGUUCUUGAAGCUGAUGGCGAAGCUGAUGCUUGAAAGCCAUUGCUUGUGCUGGUUUCUUUUGCUAUGUAUUUAUGCUUUUGUUUUGCACUUUGAUACUUUAGUUUUUCACUUGGAUGUUUUCGUCAUUGCUUUUAAAUAUUUUUGUUUGGAUA
This is a long non-coding RNA of Chenopodium quinoa (quinoa), 2279 nucleotides long. RefSeq lists it as uncharacterized. The transcript has 5 exons. The record is from RefSeq and is a predicted model, not a curated record. NCBI's taxonomy places the organism in Eukaryota, Viridiplantae, Streptophyta, Magnoliopsida, Caryophyllales, Amaranthaceae.